UUAUGGGUUUCUUGAUGAUUACAUCAUAAUAACUUCGUGAAUCUUAAAAGCAAAUCUGAAAUUGUUGGCUCAAGUUAUUUGGUCCAGGUGUCAAGUGGAACAGAGGAGGUGAAAGAUUAUGAUCAAAAGUCUAGUAAUACUGAACUGAGUCAGAAGCAGAUGGAAGGAGAACCUAUCAGUCAGUCCCUAACCCCACACCGAAGAGCAUCUAUCACAUAAGCAGAAAAUUAUUACUGAUGAAAAAAGAAAACAGUACAAAAAAUGGGAAAUCAUCCUUUUUAUAGAGAUAUAUCAAGUGAGCUUGAGACAGAAAAAGCGAAAUAUUGCUCUUAAUGCUGCAAGGGAGGCAAACUAUGAGAAAACAAG
Long non-coding RNA from Leptopilina heterotoma, 366 nucleotides. RefSeq lists it as uncharacterized. The record is from RefSeq and is a predicted model, not a curated record. Lineage: Eukaryota; Metazoa; Arthropoda; Insecta; Hymenoptera; Figitidae. The transcript has 3 exons.